RNAcentral lists this ribosomal RNA (740 nucleotides) under Bacillus pumilus. RNAcentral describes it as "bacterial SSU rRNA". It matches the Rfam family "Bacterial small subunit ribosomal RNA", at positions 25 to 752 of the family's 1533-position model. The record is from RNAcentral. Lineage: Bacteria; Bacillati; Bacillota; Bacilli; Caryophanales; Bacillaceae.
UAUUGUCGACGCUGGCGGCGUGCCUAAUACAUGCAAGUCGAGCGAGACAGAAGGGAGCUUGCUCCCGGAUGUUAGCGGCGGACGGGUGAGUAACACGUGGGUAACCUGCCUGUAAGACUGGGAUAACUCCGGGAAACCGGAGCUAAUACCGGAUAGUUCCUUGAACCGCAUGGUUCAAGGAUGAAAGACGGUUUCGGCUGUCACUUACAGAUGGACCCGCGGCGCAUUAGCUAGUUGGUGGGGUAAUGGCUCACCAAGGCGACGAUGCGUAGCCGACCUGAGAGGGUGAUCGGCCACACUGGGACUGAGACACGGCCCAGACUCCUACGGGAGGCAGCAGUAGGGAAUCUUCCGCAAUGGACGAAAGUCUGACGGAGCAACGCCGCGUGAGUGAUGAAGGUUUUCGGAUCGUAAAGCUCUGUUGUUAGGGAAGAACAAGUGCGAGAGUAACUGCUCGCACCUUGACGCGCCCUAACCAGAAAGCCACGGCUAACUACGUGCCAGCAGCCGCGGUAAUACGCAGCUGGCAAGCGUUGUCCGGAAUUAUUGGGCGUAAAGGGCUCGCAGGCGGUUUCUUAAGUCUGAUGUGAAAGCCCCCGGCUCAACCGGGGGGUCAGUGGAAAGUGGGAGAGUGGAGGCGGUGCGAUCGUCAUGGAAAUCCCCGGGAACGACGUGAAAUGGGUAGAGAUGUGGAGGAACACCCGUGCCAAGGGACUCUCCGGCCGGAAUUGACCCUAGGA